This 774-nucleotide ribosomal RNA is filed under the name uncultured Neocallimastigales. RNAcentral describes it as "partial large subunit ribosomal RNA". It matches the Rfam family "Eukaryotic large subunit ribosomal RNA", at positions 24 to 635 of the family's 3401-position model. The record is from RNAcentral. Lineage: Eukaryota; Fungi; Neocallimastigomycota; Neocallimastigomycetes; Neocallimastigales.
UAUGUGAUCGUCUCUCGCAUAUCAAUAAGCGGAGGAAAAGAAACUAACAAGGAUUCCCCUAGUAACGGCGAGUGAAGCGGGAAGAGCUCAAAUUUGAAAUCUUAAAGGGUUUCCCUUUACGAAUUGUAGUUUAAAGAAGUGUUUUCUGUUGAGGUUUUGGUAAAAGUUCUUUGGAAUAGGACAUCAUAGAGGGUGAGAAUCCCGUAUUUGACCUUUACUUUCAACUCUGUGAUACACUUUCAAAGAGUCGGAUUGUUUGGGAAUGCAGUCCAAAAUGGGUGGUAAAUUUCAUCUAAAGCUAAAUAUUGGCGAGAGACCGAUAGCGAACAAGUACCGUGAGGGAAAGAUGAAAAGAACUUUGAAAAGAGAGUUAAACAGUACGUGAAAUUGUCAAAAGGGAAGCGUUUGACACCAGUGUUGUUUUUCUGAAAAUCAAUUAAAGAACUGUUUAUGCUAAGCUGUUUAGACUUUAUCAGCUAUCUGUUUAGUUUUGAGCUUUUCUUUAAUGCACUUUUCAGUUAACAAGUCAACAUCAAUUUCUUUUGCUGUAAAAAAGCUUGAGGAAGGUGGCUUGAGAUUCGUCUUAAGUGUUUAUAGCCUCUUGCCUAUGCAGUCGGAGAGAUUGAGGUCUGCAGCGUAGAUCCUUCGGGGCUAAAUGCAUUUGUGCUAAGUUAUAGCAUUUUAUAGACAACUUGUUGACUAUGAUUUGUCUUGUAGCUUACUCGCUUAUGUUAUUUUACCUACGCUUAGGAUGUUGAUCUACAGAGCGAGAGU